CAAUCGGCCCUUUUCAGGGCCAAAAAUUUUCUUACGAUGGAAUAUU
Non-coding RNA from Solenopsis invicta (red fire ant), 46 nucleotides. Lineage: Eukaryota; Metazoa; Arthropoda; Insecta; Hymenoptera; Formicidae. The record is from Rfam.